This 1230-nucleotide long non-coding RNA is filed under the name Phasianus colchicus (ring-necked pheasant). RNAcentral's name for it is "lncRNA (ENSPCLG00000018983.1)". The record is from RNAcentral. Lineage: Eukaryota; Metazoa; Chordata; Aves; Galliformes; Phasianidae.
GGGCCAGAAGACCCCAAAAGUGGAAAUCAUUGGGGUUGGGAGAUAUAGAUGACACCAGGAUGAAGUCGACCCCAAAAGGUUCCUCCUUGUUGGGUGUUAUUGGGGUUGGGGGCACGAGGAUGGGCCCGACCCCAAAAUCGUUGGGUGUUGGAUUUGGGGAGGGGGCCAGAAGACCCCAAAAGUGGAAAUCAGGGGGGUGGGAACUCAAAAAGUGACUCCAUGUUGGAUGCAGAUCCUCGAGAGGAAACCAGGAUGAAGUCGACCCCAAAAGGUUUCCCCUUGUUGGGUGUUAUUGGGGUUGGGGGCACUAGGAUGGGUUCGACCCCAAAAUCGUUGGGUUGAAUUUGGGGAGGGGGCCAGAAGACCCCAAAGUCGGAGAUCUGAUGGAUUCAACCCCAAAAUUUGAGGGUUUUUCCCCCCCUUCCACCCCUCCUUGUCUUCAAGGACCCCCGCUCCAAAAUUCCACGGGGGGGCAGCCCAAAACUCCUUUCCCAUUUCCUCUUUUCGCCUUUUUUCCUCCCAAAUUUUGGCUUUUCCCUCUUCCUUUUCCUCUUCCCCUCCCCCCCUAAAUUUGGCCUUUUCCAUUUUCUCCCUUUUUCCCCUUCCAUUUCUUCCAUUUUUUUCCCCAAUUUCUCCUUUUUUUUUUGUCUCCCAUUUCCUCCUUUUUUCCUUUUCCAUUUCCUCCUUUUUUCCUUUUCCAUUUCCUCCUUUUUUCCUUUUCCGUUUCCUCCCAUUUUUCCCCCCCAAAAUUCUGUUUUUUUCCACCUUCCAUUUCCUCCUUUUUCCCCAAUUUUGCCUUCUCCCAUUCCGUUUCCUCCUUUUUUCCUCUUCCAUUUCCUCCUCCUUUCACAAAUUCGCCUUUUUCCUUUUCCAUUUCCUUCCUCCCCCCAUUUUUUUCCUCCCAUUUCCUUUUUCCUCCCAUUUUUUCCCAAUUUCCUCCUUUUUUCCCCCAAUUUUGCCUAUUUCCUCUCCCAUUUCCUCCUUUUUUUCCUUUUCCACUUCCUCCUUUUUUUCCUUUUCCACUUCCUCCCUUUUUUCCUUUUCCAUUUCCUCCUUUUCCCCCCAAUUUUCUCCCAUUUCUUGCUCCCAGUCACAUGAAGUCGCCCCCAGUUCCUCCCAGUUGCUCCCAGUUACCCCUCCCAGUUUCUCCCAAUCCCUCCCAGUUGCCCUCAGUCCCUCCCAGUUACCCCUCCCAGUUUCUCCCAGUCCAUCCCAGUUGCCUCCAGUUAU